This 526-nucleotide ribosomal RNA is filed under the name Eledone cirrhosa (curled octopus). RNAcentral's name for it is "partial 16S ribosomal RNA". It matches the Rfam family "Bacterial large subunit ribosomal RNA", at positions 1816 to 2597 of the family's 2925-position model. The record is from RNAcentral. Lineage: Eukaryota; Metazoa; Mollusca; Cephalopoda; Octopoda; Eledonidae.
GUCUCUUUGAUUAGAUAUAAUAAAGAGUUGGGCCUGCUCGGUGAUAUUUUUAACAGCUGCGGUAUUAUAACUGUACUAAGGUAGCAUAAUAAUUUGCCUUAUAAAUUAAGGCUAGAAUGAAUGGUUUGACGAAAAUUAAUCUGUCUCUAUUAUAAUUAUUAGAAGUUAAUGUUUAUAGUGAAAAAGCUUAAAUUAUUUAAAGGGACGAGAAGACCCUAUUGAGCUUGAUAUUAAAAUAUAAAUUUUUUUUAAAGUUAAUAUAAUUAUGUUAUGGGUUUAAAUUUUGAUUGGGGUGAUCAAGGAAUAAAAAAGAUUAAUGUAUAUAUAUAUUAACUUCCUUAUAUAUAAAUAUUUAUAGAUAAAUAAACCGAGAGUUUUGCUUAAAAGUAAGUUACCAUAGGGAUAACAGCGUAAUUUUUUUAGAGAGUUCUUAUUAAAAAAAAAGAUUGCGACCUCGAUGUUGGAUUAAAAUUACCUUUGGGUGCAGAAGCUCAGAUAGGUGAAUCUGUUCGAUUUUUAAAAUUUU